ACAUUCGGCCAUACUUGGUAGAUAUGCGCCUUAUCCCAUCCCGAACUGAGAAGCUAAGUCUCCAUAGGCCCAGGGAGUACUGCGGUCAGGGAUGACGCUGGAAAUCUGGGUGCUGAAUGUU
RNAcentral lists this ribosomal RNA (121 nucleotides) under Gelidium amansii. Lineage: Eukaryota; Rhodophyta; Florideophyceae; Gelidiales; Gelidiaceae. The record is from RNAcentral.